Contarinia nasturtii (swede midge) is the source of this 560-nucleotide long non-coding RNA. RefSeq lists it as uncharacterized. Lineage: Eukaryota; Metazoa; Arthropoda; Insecta; Diptera; Cecidomyiidae. The record is from RefSeq and is a predicted model, not a curated record. The transcript has 2 exons.
AUUCAUUUCGUUUUUCAUUUUCUGCGUUUAAGUACACGUUUUUUUUAGUCGUAACUUUGUUCUAUUCGGCAAUUGGAAUCAUGAGCUCAAUAACAAUUUUAUCCGCUGUAUUCAUAAUUUUGGCUGUAAAGAAUACGCCUGUUUUGGCUGGCGUUGAUUUUGUGCAGGGAGAGGAAAUCAGUCGCCCGUUGAAUUGUCAUCACGGAUAUAUUCUCAAGGCAGGCGAAUUUUUCUCAGUUGACGGAGGUGUGGGUUGCAUAUUUGGUUUACCAUGCAAGCAAUAUAAGAAUGGAUACAUUAUGAACUGUGGUGCUGCGAGUAAAUCUGGUUGGAAUGUAGUGAGAGAGAUGGCGCAAAAGGGAAUAACAAUUCCGUCGUAUAAAGAAAAAAAACUUAGCCUUACGGAAAUCAAGAACUUGAUGAAUGAAAUGAAAAAUAAGAUAGAAAACUAGCGGGAAUAUUGUAAAUGAAAUGGAAAUUCAUGCAUCAAACUAAACUUAUUCUCAAUUGCAUUUUUUAUAGUGAAAAUAAUUAAUAAAAUUUAAUUUUUUCUCAUCAUA